GAAACUAAAACGUAGCAGUCUGACCCCCAGCUGCGGGGUAACCGGCUCCCACGUGGUACCCUAGGAAAAACUGCACUGCACUGGGCCGCUGCAGUGAACAACGCCCGAGCUGCCCGCUGUCUCCUCCAGACUGGAGCGGAUAAAGAUGCCCAGGACAGUAGGGAGCAGACGCCGCUGUUCCUGGCUGCGCGCGAAGGCGCCGUGGAGGUGGCACAGCUGCUGCUGGAGAUCGGGGCAGCGCGGGGGCUGCGGGACCAGGCCGGGCUGGCCCCAGCAGAUGUGGCCCGCCAGCGUAGUCAUUGGGACCUGCUGACGCUGCUGGAGGGGGCAGGACCGAUCACGCAGGAGGCCCGUUCGCACGCACGCAACACGCCGGGGGGCGGGGCCGCGCCGCGCUGCCGGACGCUGUCUGCCGGAGCGCGCCCGCGCGGGGGCGGAGCUUGUCUGCAAGCUCGCACUUGGUCGGUGGACUUGGGAGCGCGCCGAGGGGCGGUAUACGCGCGCUGCCGGAGCCGAUCAGGAGGCUCUGGAGGCCCCUCCAUGCGCGGCCG
RNAcentral lists this long non-coding RNA (551 nucleotides) under Rattus norvegicus (Norway rat). RNAcentral's name for it is "long non-coding RNA NONRATT017084". The record is from RNAcentral. Lineage: Eukaryota; Metazoa; Chordata; Mammalia; Rodentia; Muridae.